UAUGGGCUGGCUCACCACUGCAGGAUGGUGGGGAAAGGCUGGAAGUUAGAAAUUCACUGCAGAGGGAAUUUCAGACUUCUUCCCCCUCCCUUCCGGGACUGCAGGAAAUCUGCACUGCAAAACACCUCAACUGAGAUAGCGUCAGCUCAGCAGAACUGCAGGAGACCACAGAACUUUUUUGCUGAUUGCUCUGCCGAAGUGUCACUUCUCCCGGGCCCCAAAGGCCUCUCCGGGACCCCCAGGAGCGCACUGACAGAGCUCUCCCCAGGCAGGGCAGGUCACGGCAGCAGCACACAGCCGAACAGACCUAGCACGGUUCACGGGGAUGAACCCUAACCUCAGGCUGAGUGAAGGAACAGCUGACGGAGGUGCUACGCAGUCAGAGAAGCCAAGUGAGGGUGUACGUGUUCUGCAGAUGUCGUCAGAACAGAGCACAGCCUUCAACACUGCUCCCCUGCAUCACCUCACAAAAUUGACAUCUGUCAUCAUGCAUUUGAACAUCAGCCAAUAGAUUGGGAUGCUGUGCUCACUUGAGUGUCCCAGUGCUGUCACGAGUUUCAUUCACACAACAUUAAAAAAACAAGUUGAGAUGUGUCUGAUAAAGGUAGACAUGACCUUCAGGGAGAGGGGAGGGAGAAAGAAUUACAUUUGCCUGUAAAAAAAAAAAUGACAGGAUUUGGCUGGCAGUGAGCUUCUA
This 697-nucleotide long non-coding RNA is filed under the name Gallus gallus (chicken). Its description in RNAcentral is "lncRNA (ENSGALG00010022802.1)". The record is from RNAcentral. Lineage: Eukaryota; Metazoa; Chordata; Aves; Galliformes; Phasianidae.